UGCAAAAGUUUUUCAUGAACUGUACUUGUUUCCUUAUUGCCACGUGAAUUCCUCCUUUCAUACUGGAAAAGUUUCAUCGUUAUAAUGCCAAUUGAUAUUCAAUGAAUAAAUAAGUGAAUGCAUUAAUUAUUACAAGAGCAACCAACAAAGUUACUACGAAGCUUUUGUGUCCGGGUACUAUUAUAUCGUUGGAAUUUUUGGUUCGAUGGAAAUGGAAAUGAACGGAGCAAAUUUCAAAGCUGCUGUGUCUGAUGAUGGAGUAACCAUGCCAAAUCUAAGGCAGGUCACAGUAGUCCAGAGAGUAAAAAUGAAGAGCAUUCAAAGUCUGCCAAUUUUGUAUGUAUUCCACCAGUAAGUUUACUAUCCAAUAUAGGUUUUGAACAAUCAAAAAAGCAUUUAGAAUGCAUGGAGCAAACAAAAGUGACAAAUCCCAAAAAACACAAGAUUUCUUAAGGAAUAUAAAUCCUAAAUAACAACCUUUAACUUCCUUUAAGAAAAGAAAUUCCUUUUCUCAAAGGUUGAUAAUAGAAGGAAGCUGUAGGCCAAGUCAGCUGACAAGAAAAUCUUUUGAGGUCAUUACUCUUUUGGAUGACGAAGAUUCAAUGUGCCUCCAUCGACAAAUCUUCCAAACAGAAUGACAAAAAGAGUUCUACCUUUACCAUCAGGAAUUGAAAGGGGACCCAAGUUGCUUCAAUCUCCUUACUGGUUGGUUCCAGUGCAUCAUCAACUGAAGGCAGUGAAUCUGACAGUUCUGUUACAGUGCUUAACCCCCUUCCAGGCCCUUCAUGUAUGUAUGUGGAUUCAUGCCCAGAUUUAUCACCAAACUCAGCAACAGAUUCAUCUGACUCUGAAAUUGAAGUCAUGAAACUACCCUAAAUUGGCUAUGAUAAAGUUGAUAUUAAGUUGAAUGUCAGUCAACCUAAUAUUGGAAGCACUCUAGCCACUUGCAUCAAUUCUUCUAGCUCUGGUUUGAAUUGGCAAAAGUAUUCUAGUGAAAAAUGGACAUCAGGAAUGAUAAAUUUCUAUGAUAGCGAUGGAUCUGAUAGAGAUUUGGAAGCAAUCUUAAAAUCUCUUCCGAAAAACGUCAAGUGGCAUUUGGAUAUCGAAGAUUGUCGUGGAAGCGAUUUACAGAGAAACCGUUAUUUUGGAAAGAGUGCCAAAAUGCAGUGCACUAACUGUAGCCAGUGGGAUCAUCUGACUAAGGACUGCACAGAUCCUAGGAAAAUCAUUAGUUGGGGUAUAUGCGGAUUGCUUGGACACAAGCAAUUUGCAUGUCCAAAUAAAGUUUGUUUGGGUUGCGGCCGGCCAAACAAAAUUCUUGUUGAGUGCUGUCCUGAAUGUCGUCGAGAGCAAAAUAUUAUUUGUAUGAUCUGCCGUUCUAAGCAUGUCACUCAGCGCUGUCCCGAUCUGUGGAGGCUGUCGUCAAUCUGUC
Molecule: long non-coding RNA, 1432 nt
Organism: Daphnia carinata
Lineage: Eukaryota; Metazoa; Arthropoda; Branchiopoda; Diplostraca; Daphniidae
Exons: 3
Source: RefSeq, a predicted model, not a curated record